UACGUAGGGCGCAAGCGUUAUCCGGAAUUACUGGGCGUAAAGGGCUCGUAGGCGGCCAACUAAGUCAUACGUGAAAUCCCUCAGCUUAACUGGGGAACUGCGUGUGAUACUGGAUGGCUUGGAUUUGGGAGAGGGAUGCGGAAUUCCAGGUGUAGCGGUGAAAUGCGUAGAUAUCUGGAGGAACACCGGUGGCGAAGGCGGCAUCCUGGACCAAUAUUGACGCUGAGGAGCGAAAGCUAGGGGAGCAAACGGG
This 253-nucleotide ribosomal RNA is filed under the name uncultured bacterium. RNAcentral's name for it is "partial 16S ribosomal RNA". It matches the Rfam family "Bacterial small subunit ribosomal RNA", at positions 524 to 776 of the family's 1533-position model. The record is from RNAcentral.